CCUACGGGCGGCAGCAGUGAGGAAUAUUGCACAAUGGGGGAAACCCUGAUGCAGCGACGCCGCGUGAGGGAAGAAGUAUUUCGGUAUGUAAAGCUCUAUCAGCAGGAACGAGACAAGACGUUACCGGACUAAGAAGCCCCGGCUAACUACGUGCCAGCAGCCGCGGAACUACGGAGGGGGCAAGCGUUAUCCGGAAUCACUGGGUGUAAAGGGAGCGAUGGCGGUUUUUUAAGUCAGCGGUAAAAUCGUGGGGCUAAACCCCAUCCAGCCGUUGAAACUGGGGAUCUAGAGUGUGCGAGAGGUAUGCGGAAUGCGUGGUGUAGCGGUGAAAUGCAUAGAUAUCACGCAGAACCCCGAUUGCGAAGGCAGCAUACCGGUGCACAACUGACGCUCAGGCACGAAAGCGUGGGUAUCGAACAGGAUUAGAUACCCCAGUAGUC
Molecule: ribosomal RNA, 440 nt
Filed under: uncultured bacterium
Lineage: Bacteria
Description: partial 16S ribosomal RNA
Rfam family: Bacterial small subunit ribosomal RNA
Source: RNAcentral